GCUGGGUGUGGUGGUGCACGCCUGUAAUCCCAGCAACUUGGGAGGCUGAGGCAAGGCAAGACCAGCCUCGG
RNAcentral lists this small RNA (71 nucleotides) under Marmota monax (woodchuck). The record is from RNAcentral. Lineage: Eukaryota; Metazoa; Chordata; Mammalia; Rodentia; Sciuridae.